CUCGAAAGAGUGAACUAGCUAANCGAAAUCAAUUUAAAAUUGAUAACAUAAGGGAAAAUAAUGAUAUUACCUUAUUAUUAGUGUCGUCCAAAACUGGUGCCAGAAGACUCGGUAAGGCCAGAGACACAAACGUUAAUCGUCUUAAUCAGGCGUAAAGGGUUUGUAGGCGGCUUUUAAUUUUCUUAUAAAAUUUUUUAAAAUUAAAUAAGUUAAGAAUAAAAGCUAGAAUCAAAUAGAGGAUAUAUCAAAUAAUGCUUAGAGUAGGUCUGAUAUCCAUAGAUACUAAGUAGAAUAUUAAAGGCGAAAGCUUUUUUCCAUAAAUGAUUGACGCUCAGAAACGAAGGUGAGGAUAGGAAAUAGGAUUAGAUACCCAAAAUACCCCUCUCUGUCAACGAUGAAUGGUAAUUAUUAAUAAUAAAUUUAUUAUUAAUGAUAAUGUUAACACGAUAACCAUUCCGCCUUGUGAGUACAACUGCAAAGUUGAAAACAAAAAAAUUAGUCGGUUUCGGAGCAAACGAAGUGAAGCAUGUUAUUUAAUU
RNAcentral lists this ribosomal RNA (539 nucleotides) under Russula sp. Its description in RNAcentral is "partial small subunit ribosomal RNA". It matches the Rfam family "Bacterial small subunit ribosomal RNA", at positions 374 to 951 of the family's 1533-position model. The record is from RNAcentral. Lineage: Eukaryota; Fungi; Basidiomycota; Agaricomycetes; Russulales; Russulaceae.